CGUCUCUUUUAGUGUCUCUACAGUCUUCAAGUUUCUCUCUCUGAUCAUCUCAGCUUUAUUCUACAGCACUGCUCAUCUUUACACGUCACAGACACCAAAUCACAAGAUGAUCUCAAUAUUCUGCUCUGUCUGCACUCUUCUGACCUGUGUCAGUGGAGUGACUGUAGUGACUCAGAGUCCAGUAAUCACAGUCAGUAAAGGACAAACCGCUCAACUGGACUGUAAUCUGGGCACUGUGACUGAUUCUGAAGCUAGAUGGUACAAGCAGACUGCAGCAGGAGUUCCUCAGUAUGUGUUAAGAUUUUAUCAUGGCUGGAGAUCACCUAGCUAUGGAUCUGGUUUCUCUGCUCCUAAAUUCACAUCAACACAUUCAUCUAAAUCAGAUUAUAGUCUGAUCAUACGUAAUGUGGAUGUGAGUGAUUCUGCAGUGUAUUACUGUUAGACAUAUGACA
Molecule: non-coding RNA, 452 nt
Organism: Danio rerio (zebrafish)
Lineage: Eukaryota; Metazoa; Chordata; Actinopteri; Cypriniformes; Danionidae
Source: the annotation of a RefSeq genome assembly